This is a long non-coding RNA of Medicago truncatula (barrel medic), 1215 nucleotides long. RefSeq lists it as uncharacterized. The record is from RefSeq and is a predicted model, not a curated record. The transcript is spliced from 4 exons. Lineage: Eukaryota; Viridiplantae; Streptophyta; Magnoliopsida; Fabales; Fabaceae.
ACGCGUUUCACUUUCCAAAGUAUUCAUUUUCAAUUCAUUCUCUUAUUCCAACCAUCCAUACCAAUUCAUUUGUUCCCUUUUCAUCUCUUAGAUUCAUGUUCAACCUUUUUCCAUUCUCUCUCUCAUUGGCUCUAUCUGCGCCAAUGAACCAUAACCAUACAUGAAGAAAAUUUCAAUCUCUCCCAUGUCUUUUCCACUUUCAAUGUUGUCUUUUCUCCUCCCAUUCCCCUUCACCAAUGCUCUCGAUUCCGACAUCACCUUUGCCGUUGUCGACUUUCCCACCACCGUCUGCGGCAUCGUAUCAGCCAGACAAGCAAAAAGAACCGCACAAAGAGAAAGAAGCCAUGGAAAUUUGCAAUCUCGAUUGGAAGCUCCCGUCGUUGCUCUCUCCCUUCAUCAACAAUGCUCUCAAGGUUCACAACACAGUCAGAUUUGGGUCUCUGACGAGAAUAGGGUCAUAGUUGACGAUUCAGUUUCAUCUCAGUUUCACCCCUCACUUUCAUCUUCUCUGUUUUGGCGAUGAUUCAAUUUCGACCGUUGAGGUAAGAAGUAUGGGAUGAGAUGGAACAAGACUGUAGCAGAAACAUGGAAUGGAACAUUGGUGUAUCAGUUGUAGGUGCUCCCUCUCUCACUAUGUUUCCUCUCUCACUGCAGUUCAUCUCGAUGAUUUUAUUUGAUAAUGUACCAAUUGAGAAUUGUUUGAUAGAGUACGGUGACUCAACAAAAACUGACGGCAAAUUCAUAAAUGUUGAAAAUACAUCAUGCUGAAAACUUCCACCCUGAGAAUUAUGUCUCUAUUGUCAAAGAAGAAGGGCUUGAGAUAUCGAUCACAACCAGCACUUGAUCCUAAAAAGUUGGAAGUUCAUCAUCAAAUUACCGCACGUGGUAGGAGGUCAAAAGUGCACAGGUUAUCCACCUUGCACCGAGUAAAUAAGUAAUUCUUGGCAAUGACAAUUCAAUGUGAAUUUCCCUUUAUUUUAUGCAGUUGAAGAAGUUUGAACUAAUUUGUUUCAGGUGGAUAGAAAUGAUGGCUCCCGUUUUCUCAAAAGUUGCGUGGCGUUGUGUUUGUUACAUGAUUUAGGUACACCACUUUGUUUGAUCAAUGUGAAAGCAUGUUUGCAGAAGUUAGUCGUGUGUUAGAAAAGUUAAGAGAAGCUGACAUAUGCUUAACAAUAUUUGCAUAUAUUUGAUUAUUUAAUUUUUUAGUUUAUUUUA